CGGAAAUCUAGGGAAUUAAUAAAUAUCCUUCGGAAUUAGAGAAGAUUAGGGCUGUUAGGAUUAAGUAUACGUAAUACAUAUACAAUUGGUUAUUAAAAAAUGUAUAAUACUGUAUAAUACUGUACCAAUAAAAUAAUUUUCAUUAGCUAUAAAAUGUAUGAAACUAUGUUUCAUGAUUUCACUUUCCAUGUAUCCAAGCUGGACAUAUAUAAUCGCUGUACGUGAAAAGUUUCACGUGAAAUGUGUGAAAAAUGAAAAAUAAAAAGUGAAAAAUGAAAAGUGAAAAAUUUCACGUAAAAUUACAUGAUUGACCCUCUGGUGUUUUCCAUCUAUGACACAGAGAGACACAGAACGACACUGCGAAACACAGCUCGAUCCUAAGUCUGGCCGUGUCGGACGUCAAUAGUGCUAACACAUCGAGCAAAAUUAUUUUUUUAAGUGUGAUACUAAUAAUUCGAACUAUAAAAAUUAUCAAUCUAUUACAUUGAAAAAUAAGGAAACUGAUAAAGUAUUGUCAUGAUUGCCUCAAGUAGAGAAUAUUUUAUUCUGCGAUCUGGACGAACGACGCUACAUUGGCGUUGCUAGCGUUGUAUGAAGCUAACAUGUAUAUGCUAGAUCAUCCUAAAAAAAAAUAUGGCUAGCUAUCGCAGAUGAUCUAAGAGAUUUCAACAUUGAGAUGUCAUCACAGCAAGUAAGAUGGAAAAUGAAUGCCUUAACAAACGAUACAAAGAAUGUAUUGACAGCAACAAUAAAACUGGAAGAGAUGCUGUUGAAUUUCAAUGGUUCGAUCAACUCGAUGAAAUUUUCGGGAAAAACAAAAAAAACAAUGUUAAAUCUUAUACUGUUUCAACGAAGUUGCCUUCCUAGAUGACAUCUAAGAAUAAAGAAUAUAACACAACAGCCACUAACGAACAGAGUAAAGAUAAAGGAAAGAAAAAAAAGGAUGUUGCAUGAAUGAUGUCUCAUUUUGAGGUGAAAAAUACAAAGCGUACGGUCCUUGAAGAGAUCUGCUCAUCAUCAAAUAUAGCUGCAAAUAAGCAAGUUAUUGAAGACGUAACAGCAACGAUGCAGCCCGAGACGUUAAAAAAGUUACGUCCAGCAUACGGAACUGCUUCAAACAUUGCAAAAAGUAAAAUUGAACUCGGAAAGCAGUGGCAUCAAUAUCUGCAAGAUAAAGUUAAAAGAGAGGUUAAAGAGAAACGGUACAACGACAUAAUGAAAAAGAGGGAAGAAUUACUACAAU
Molecule: long non-coding RNA, 1243 nt
Organism: Pogonomyrmex barbatus (red harvester ant)
Lineage: Eukaryota; Metazoa; Arthropoda; Insecta; Hymenoptera; Formicidae
Source: RefSeq, a predicted model, not a curated record